AUGUACAUGCCUACAAUGUUAAUGCACCUGAUCCUGUUAGAACUCUGUAGUUAAGUGUACUUGGGAUAGAGUAGUAUUGGGAUGGGUGACCUCUUGGGAAGUCCUAAUGUUUUACAUU
Molecule: non-coding RNA, 118 nt
Organism: Picea glauca (white spruce)
Lineage: Eukaryota; Viridiplantae; Streptophyta; Pinopsida; Pinales; Pinaceae
Source: Rfam